AUUGAACGCUGGCGGCAGGCCUAACACAUGCAAGUCGAGCGAGCGGCGGACGGGUGAGUAAUGUAUGGGGAUCUGCCUGAUGGAGGGGGAAAACUACUGGAAACGGUAGCUAAUACCGCAUACCAUCAGAUGAACCCAUAUGGGAUUGGCUUGUAGGUGGGGUAACGGCUCACCUAGGCGACGAUCCCUAGCUGGUCUGCGAGGAUGAUCAGCCACACGGGGACUGAGACACGGCCCAGACUCCUACGGGAGUCAGCAGUGGGGAAUAUUGCACAAUGGGCGCAAGCCUGAUGCAGCCAUGCCGCGGGUAUGAAGAAGGCCUUAGGGUUGUAAAGUACUUUCAGCGGGGAGGCGUUACCCGCAGAAGAAGCACCGGCUAACUCCGUGCCAGCAGCCGCGGUAAUAC
RNAcentral lists this ribosomal RNA (406 nucleotides) under uncultured bacterium. Its description in RNAcentral is "partial 16S ribosomal RNA". It matches the Rfam family "Bacterial small subunit ribosomal RNA", at positions 30 to 526 of the family's 1533-position model. The record is from RNAcentral.